RNAcentral lists this ribosomal RNA (453 nucleotides) under uncultured bacterium. RNAcentral describes it as "partial 16S ribosomal RNA". It matches the Rfam family "Bacterial small subunit ribosomal RNA", at positions 28 to 523 of the family's 1533-position model. The record is from RNAcentral.
GAUAAACGUUGGCGGCGUGCCUAAUGCAUGCAAGUCGCACGAGGGCUUCGGCCCUAGUGGCGGACGGGUGAGUGACACGUACGAAUCUGCCCGGAGGUGGGGGACAACUUCCCGAAAGGGAAGCUAAUACCGCAUACGGUCUACGGACCAAAGCCGAAAGGCGCCACCGGAGGAGCGUGCGGCGGAUUAGCUAGUUGGUGGGGUAACGGCCUACCAAGGCGACGAUCCGUAGCUGGUCUGAGAGGAUGGGCAGCCACACUGGGACUGAGAUACGGCCCAGACUCCUACGGGAGGCAGCAGCAAGAAAUUUUGCAAAAUCGACGCAAGUCGGAUGCAGCAACGCCGCGUGGGGGAUGAAGGCUCUCGGGUUGUAAACCCCUUCUGCGAGGGAAGAAGAUCUGACGGUACCUCGCGAAUAAGUCACGGCUAACUACGUGCCAGCCGCCGCGGUAA